Long non-coding RNA from Rhineura floridana, 776 nucleotides. RefSeq lists it as uncharacterized. The transcript is spliced from 2 exons. Lineage: Eukaryota; Metazoa; Chordata; Lepidosauria; Squamata; Rhineuridae. The record is from RefSeq and is a predicted model, not a curated record.
GACUGGGUAUUAGAUGGAGAAGAGGGCUUGACAGAUGUUAUAUAAAGCUAUCCCACUGUGUUAAUCGCCAUUCAGCUGACUCCAACCACAAAACUACCUUCUCAGGGUUUUACGGAAUUCCCAGCCCUAAGAAGAAAAAUGUGCUCCCGUCAGGAACAAGGAUGCUGUGGUACUCCACUCAAGCCUUCAUGCCACAGUGGCGGAAAUUCCUGUCACAGUGGCAGAAGUUCCUGUUACUGUGGUGGGAGUUCCUGUCAUGGAUCAGGAACUUCCUGUCGCUGGGGUGGGAGUUGCUGUCAUGGGUCAGAAACUUUCUGCCACUGCCAUGAGAGUUCCUGCCACAGUGGGCAAUCUUCCUGUUGCAGGCCCAGGGUCGAGUUCUGUCACAAUGUGAGGCCACUCCCUCAGAUCCAAGUGCCUCUCUCCCCACCUGCUGUCAUUUACCCCCCUUGUACCCACCAGCAGGUGAAGCAACCUUGCCAAUUCCUACCUCAGAAGUGAAGGCAAGAAGGACAGAUUGUUCUCAUCUUGAAAAUAAUGCAUUUCAGGAUGCCAACAAGGCUCAGUUCUAUACCUUGCAACUCCGGUGUCUCUGACAUUGCCCUGAUCUGUUACCUCGAGGUUUGCCAGAGGCGUUCUCCAAUCAACCCUUUGUUCUCCAAGGCUGCCGCUUAGAAAUACCAUCUGGGGUCUCCUCUCCAUAGCUGCUGAUCUGAUGUUCUCCAAAUUUUUUCUUUGGCUGAAACCUAAAUCAUUAAAAUGAGAAUUCACAAGAA